Molecule: non-coding RNA, 111 nt
Organism: Myodes glareolus (Bank vole)
Lineage: Eukaryota; Metazoa; Chordata; Mammalia; Rodentia; Cricetidae
Source: RefSeq, a predicted model, not a curated record
GUACUCAACUUCGGCAGCACAUAUACUAAAAUUGGAACGGUGCAGAGAAGAUUAGUAUGGUCGCCCCCGCACGUGGAGGACACGCAAAUUCGUUAAGCGUUUCAUACUUUU